This 253-nucleotide ribosomal RNA is filed under the name uncultured bacterium. RNAcentral's name for it is "partial 16S ribosomal RNA". It matches the Rfam family "Bacterial small subunit ribosomal RNA", at positions 524 to 776 of the family's 1533-position model. The record is from RNAcentral.
UACAGAGGUCUCAAGCGUUGUUCGGAUUCAUCGGGCGUAAAGGGUGCGUAGGUGGCGCUGUAAGUCGGGUGUGAAAUUUCGGAGCUUAACUCCGAAACUGCAUUCGAUACUGCGGUGCUUGAGGACUGGAGAGGAGACUGGAAUUCAUGGUGUAGCAGUGAAAUGCGUAGAGAUCAUGAGGAAGACCAGUGGCGAAGGCGGGUCUCUGGGCCGAUACUGACGCUGCGGAGCGAAAGCGUGGGGAGCGAACAGG